UACGUAGGGUGCAAGCGUUGUCCGGAAUUAUUGGGCGUAAAGAGCUCGUAGGCGGCUCGUCGCGUCGACCGUGAAACCCCGCAGCUUAACUGCGGGCCUGCGGUUGAUACGGGCGGGCUAGAGUUCGGUAGGGGAGACUGGAAUUCCUGGUGUAGCGGUGAAAUGCGCAGAUAUCAGGAGGAACACCGGUGGCGAAGGCGGGUCUCUGGGCCGAUACUGACGCUGAGGAGCGAAAGCGUGGGGAGCGAACAGG
This 253-nucleotide ribosomal RNA is filed under the name uncultured bacterium. Its description in RNAcentral is "partial 16S ribosomal RNA". It matches the Rfam family "Bacterial small subunit ribosomal RNA", at positions 524 to 776 of the family's 1533-position model. The record is from RNAcentral.